CCCUUAGAUGUUCUGGGCCGCACGCGCGCUACACUGACGAAUGCAACGAGCUUAUAACCUUGGCCGAAAGGUCUGGGUAAUCUCCAAAUUUCGUCGUGAUGGGGAUAGAUUAUUGCAAUUAUUAAUCUUCAACGAGGAAUGCCUAGUAAGCGCAAGUCAUCAGCUUGCGUUGAUUACGUCCCUGCCCUUUGUACACACCGCCCGUCGCUCCUACCGAUUGAAUGGUCCGGUGAAGCGCUCGGACCGCGGCCUCUUGACGGUUCGCUGUCGAUUGGCUGUGGGAAGUUCGUUAAACCUUAUCAUUUAGAGGAAGGAGAAGCCGUANCA
This 327-nucleotide ribosomal RNA is filed under the name uncultured eukaryote. RNAcentral's name for it is "partial 18S ribosomal RNA". It matches the Rfam family "Eukaryotic small subunit ribosomal RNA", at positions 1470 to 1796 of the family's 1831-position model. The record is from RNAcentral.